GGGUCUGUAGCUCAGGGGUAGAGCGCUCGGCUGCAGUCCGAGUGGUCAUCGGUUCAAAUCCGGUCAGGCCCU
Non-coding RNA from Giardia lamblia ATCC 50803, 72 nucleotides. Lineage: Eukaryota; Fornicata; Diplomonadida; Hexamitidae. The record is from Rfam.